Molecule: ribosomal RNA, 76 nt
Filed under: Ditylum brightwellii
Lineage: Eukaryota; Bacillariophyta; Thalassiosirophyceae; Lithodesmiales; Lithodesmiaceae
Description: partial Trypanosomatid mitochondrial large subunit ribosomal RNA
Source: RNAcentral
UAUACGAUCGUCAUGGACAAUUGAAACGAAUCAUGUUGGUGAAUAAAGAAGGAAGGGUAUUUGAAGAGAUUCAAUC